ACAGUCAUUACCCUUCUGAAAGAACACCAGCCCAAUACUUGUAUUUAAGCAACUGUAACACCAUUUUCCACUUCACUUAAUAUCAAAGAUUUUAUAGGAAAAGCUGCAGUACAUACUGCUGCAUAACCAGCAUAACACAGUUUCAAAAUAACUAUCCCCAAAGUGUGCAGAACUCCAUGGGUAUAAAAUGGCUGAAGCAAUACAAGAGUGACUUACUAAGAUUAAAUAUGGAAGAUAUAACCUAAAUAUUGUGCUGUGCCAUUUCUCUCACAGGUGACCUGCAUGCUGAUGUCCUGGAGGGGAAGUGCAGUUCCACAACAGUGGAAGGCAGUGGAGCUCAGCAAGAGCUGCCAGGAGCAACAGCAUAUUUCAACAAUUGGUCUUAAAGCAAGACAGUACAAAUUCAAUCAAAGGACCUUUUGAGAAACUUGUUUGAGCUCAGUAUUUAAAAUGCAGAUGUGUCCCAAGAAGAUCACAUAAGAAGAAUAUAUAAGACAAAAAACGCAGAAAACCAAGAACCUCCUGCAAAACUGCCUGACAGAUAAGAUGUUACAGCCUUUGUUGUACAACCAAGGAGAUAAUCUAGUGUAAACACACAAGGUCUUGCAACGUUUCCAUCUGCAGCUGUGUUAGUUUCCCUUCAUUAUAUUACAUGUGGAAUAAGAAAAUUGUGUUGAAUAAAGU
This 684-nucleotide long non-coding RNA is filed under the name Chloebia gouldiae (Gouldian finch). Its description in RNAcentral is "Erythrura gouldiae (Gouldian finch) lncRNA (ENSEGOG00005011918.1)". The record is from RNAcentral. Lineage: Eukaryota; Metazoa; Chordata; Aves; Passeriformes; Passeridae.